UUGAAAACAUCUACAAGUGUUUAUUGCACCUUGACACAGACACAAAAUAUAUUCUUUACGUAAAACUAACAAAGUCAAGAAUGGGUUACAUCAUAAUUAGAAUAGGCUACAUUGGCAUAACCCAGUGGUGAGUACACUAACACAAUGUAAGCUCACAUUGAAUGGCCAAACAACAAAAAUAUACAGGUCAUAAUAUCCUCGACUGUCCCAAAGAGUGUUAAUAUCUUGACAAGUCCAUCAACCCAACAUUUCAAACAGGAUUGACUUGUAUAAUAAUGUGUGAUGCUGGACAAAGACAUGGACUGUGAUAGAAAUACUGGGAGUGUUAAUGACACACAAAAGUUGAAAAACAUUUUUUUUUAUCCCUCACACAAUUUUAUUAGACUAGCAAUACCACGUAAACCAUGUGGCUUCCACACUGAGGAGGCUUGGGUUCAAAUCUCUGUGAAGACUGGGAGUUUUUUUUCAACUUUGAGAUUUUUAGGAUGCCCCUGAAUCCAUGCAGUUCUAAUGGGUUACCUCACAUUAGUUGGGGAAAGUGGGUUGUGGUGUGGCCAGAUGACACCCUCUUUAAACACCAGGUAUAGAAACAGAUGACCUUUACAUUAUCAGCCCUAUACAUCACAAUGUUAAACAAUGGGUACUUUUACUUUAAAAUAUUAAUAAAAUUAAGUACCGGUAAUAAUUAUAAUAACAACUGAACUAUAAAGCAAGUCUUUGUUAAGUUCAAAAUGUUUGUUUUACAUUAAUUGUUAUGUAGUUAUGAGUGUUCUGUUAUAUAUAUAUAUAUAUAU
Non-coding RNA from Biomphalaria pfeifferi, 794 nucleotides. NCBI's taxonomy places the organism in Eukaryota, Metazoa, Mollusca, Gastropoda, Planorbidae. The record is from the annotation of a GenBank genome assembly.